UACAAUUGUAUAAUGUUUUUUUUUUUAUCAAUGUAGACGUAUUGAUAGGUAAAUUAUUUUGUAUCAUUGAUGGUUUCUUGGAUUUAUGAAAUGAUGCUGAAAUUUACAAUACUUUAACAUGUCGAUAUUUUCAUCGAACGUCUACAGUUAUGUCAAAUCCGGAUGGUUGUGAACGUAAACACGGAGUAGGGCCGUCCUGAAGCUAGGCGUGGGUCUUUAUUUCUAUAACAGUCCAUUCUCUGAGCCUCCCCUUUCCUGAGAUACCCCUUUGCUGCUGCCUGGACCCUUUAAUAAGGAAGGCUGAGUACGCUCAGGCUGGUGGUUCUUGAGUUAUCGGGAUGCUGCGUGACCUAACAACAGUGCUGGUGGGGGGGUCGAAAGGCCUGCCCCCUCUUCUAUCCUUUCUCUUCAAGCUGGCCUGGGCGUCUCGAGUUCGUCUGCCCCUCAUCAUUGCCGUCGGGUUCAUGGUUACUAAUAUUCACUGCGGCUUGAGAUCAAUGUCAAUAUAGAGGUGGGGGAGGAUGAAGCAGCUGUGGCCGGGGUGGAGCAGCGGACCGGGGAGGAGGAGGAGGAGGAGGAGGAAGAGGAUGACGUGGAGGUGUAAGGUGGUGGAAGAGAUGGUGGUGGUGUUAAAUCAUGUAGCGGUGGAAGAGAAGAGAAUAGUUUGGAAGAUGGUGUGUAAGAAUAAGGAGGAAGAUGAUGAUGGAGGAAAGGUAGUAAGAGAUCAAGAAUUUAAAAAGCAAUGAAUAGAUUCAAAGAUAAAGCGGAGAAUUACCUGGAAAAAAAGAAAAUGAACUAAAAAGAAGUGGAAAAAAGGUUAACAAAUUAGAGAAAAAGAGAAUAUUUGAAUAGGAGGAAGAGGAGGAGGAGGAGUUCAUGGUGAUGUGUCGACCUUAACUGUGAUAUUACUGUAUCUCCUCCAGGAUUUGCCACUUGGAUAAAAGCAGGUCAUUUCCGGAGGUGCCUCUUCUUAAUAUUUCUCUUGUGAACCAGCUGCCCAGUGAUGUGCCUUCAGAUGUCCUCCUUUCACACACACACACACACACACACACACACACACACACACACACACACACACACUGCAUCCUAUUCACCGUCUUGUCUCCUCCCUGUAUCUCCUUCAUUUGGGCUUGUCCGGCUGGCUCACCUGUACUAUCUGUAGGAACUUGGACAUUAAUCACUGUACCUGUUUUAUUAUGUAGCUUAGGAAUAUGAUAAUCUACUUAUGCUCUCAUUGUAUUACCUUCAUUACUUAUCAACCAUGCAAUGUGUUUGUUUUUUUCUAUAUCUUUCCUUUUUAUAAUAUUAAUGUUAGUGUGGUUGUUUUGAUUGUGGAAUUGUGUAUUAAAAUGAUUGAAUUUGAAAAGUACAUUAAGUGAUUUUUUAUCUUUCUUUUUACUACUGUGUAAAUUAAAACUUGUAGAGUAAGAUAUCAAAAUGUAAAGAAAUUUUUGGAUGUUUUAACAGUAUAAUGAUAAUAAUUUAAAAGUACAAGAUCACAUACCACUAAAAUGUGUAUAAAUUCAUCAUCUUAAGGCUGUAGUUUGCAGUGUGUUCAUAAUAUUCCCAUGCCUGGUAACCUAGUAUGUAUAUGAAGCAAGUUACUGCACACAUCAUAACUUUACUACCAUUACUUCUGCAAGAGGUUUCCUGGAUGCAAUACUUGUUAAGGUUAGCUUGCUUCAAAUGUUAGGCUUAUGUAUAGUGGAUGCUGUGACAGUCUAAUGUGUUACUCAGAGUGUUGGCUGUUCAUUACCUCCCAAAACUCUCUGAAAAAAAAUAAUAAAAUAAAAAAUAACAGGUUCAUAUUCUGACACAAUGGACAAUGAUUACAGUGGCAACAGUUGGCAGCCCUGCACACUAAGGAUGGCUGUCGUACACCAUGACCUGGGAAAUAGAUCGGCAUAUCAGUAUUACGUCAAGUCAGGCAUGCCAACAUUACUGACACCAAGCAUGAUCAAGGACCAGGUCUCAUAUUGUUCUUUAAGAGAGCUUUAUGAGCUAAUGUUCCUGUCCACACUGUUGCCAUAAGCUUUGUGUAUCUUAACAAGUACUGAAUGGAGGAAGCUAAAGUACUCUUAAUAAAUACUGCAUGUAUAACACCUCUUAACCUUGCACCAGUAAUACCAGGCUACGUAAGGCAAUAACAGAUUAACUAAACUAACAAGAUUUAUGAGAAGAAACGUGAAAUAUUGAUAGGUGUUCAUGGGUUGUGUCUGCUAUAAUUAAUAAAGUUCUGUAUUGAAAUGCUAUGGUGUUUCUAUGUGUGUAUGCACCUCCUUGUGUAGUGAUGGGGCAGGAAAAAAAAUAAAACAAAAAAACAAAGCACUGUUAUAUUAAGAAAAGUGAAAUGUUAACCAGAAAAUACUCGGGUGAUGAAGUUUGUCGUUGAGUGUAUUGUUCACUAUGUUGCUACUGGCACUAGUGAACAGUCAUGUGAGGUGAUGAGCAAAGUGACAUGAGUAGUGUGGCAUCAAAGACCAUACUGUUGUGAUGAAUGUUGUGAAGUGUCAGUACAGUGUCAUCUAAUUCAUAUACAAGUGUGCUGAGAUGGAGGAAUUACGAAUUGCAGAACAUACUUCGUUCAAUAAGAAAAAAGGAUGUAGAAUUGUAGCUGAUGCUUAAUUCAUAAACAUAAUGUAAACAGCAAAAAUAUUGAUUCAUACCUAAAAAUAAUAUUGUGAAUUGCUUAUAAUACUAAAUUCAUCUAGAAAAUACUUCUUUCACAUUCAUACAAAAGAGAAUAUAUAAAUAAGCACAGAGAAUAACAAUUGAUUCAAACCAGUAGUAUUCCACAUUCCCUUUCAAGAAAUUAAGAAAAAAAAUAAAAAAGGAAAAAAAAAUCCAAAACAAAGCACUAAUUCAAGAACAUACAUACAAGAACAUACAUACAUACAUACAUACUUCCAAUAUUUCAAUAUACAGAUGAAAAAAAAAAAAAGUAAAUAACUAAAAAAAAAAAAGAGGAGGAUAAUCAAACACAAAAAUGCAUAGAAAAUGUAUCAGAGUAUUAAUAGAUAAGAAUGUUUGAGGCGCCGGGACAGACAGAGUGUGUGUCUGUCUCUCGCCGUCUCCUUACUGACUAACAACUGUACUGGUAGAAUAUGUUUGGGAUUAAUUGGCUUGUAAUCUUGGGGGCUUUAGUGCAACUAUCUACACCAUUAUGAACUGCUGUCAAUAUAAGCAGGAGGAAAGAUGUAAUACAUGUAAUGUGAUACAGAAAACAGUUUGGGGGGACAACACAGACAAACAGACAGACAAACGUACAGACAGAUAGAUCCCCUAAAGCAAGUUAUCUGAUAAACUCAUAAAAACAUAAUGAUUUAUAUACAAAACAGAUGAUGCUUGAUAAAAAAAAUUGAAAAAAAAAUUGGAAUGAGUAAGACAGGAAACAAGAACAUGUAUGCACGUUUAUCAUCGAUAUGUAACGCACACACAAACACAAAAAUGCACUAAUCCCUUCUAAACUCAACAAUAGUGCUAUCUUGGACAUUUAAACAAAAAACACACACACACACACACACACACACAUACGCAUUCUAACCCCUCACAGAUCCAACAAAACCCACUGACAUCAUCUCACUCCUCUACACACGCCUAAUAAACAAUAAUGCCAGACCUACAAAACACAAAGACAUCCCCUUAUACUAACGCUUGGUAUCAGGAACCCUGCCACUCUAUCGGCAAACUGGGAGCCGGAGGGAACCUGUUGGGCAGCAGUAAAGGCCCCAGUGUUUGCUGCUCCCUCCAGUGACUAAUGUGCACCACUCAUCACAACCCAAGGAGGACAGGCGGGUUACUACACCAGUCACUGAUCCUCCACCCUGGUGACUACAAAGAAAACUAACCCUCUCACUUUUUGAUGUCUUCUUCCUUCCAUUUGGUAGGCUAUAUGAUAAGAAAAGACAGUAUGGAAGAAAAGUAAGAUAAAAAAGACAUAUACAUAAUCUUUGUAACUGAUUCUCCACCCUGGUCACUUUAAUGCUAUCUGACCCUCUCACCGUUGAUGUCUUCCUCCUUCCAUUUGGUAAGCUAUAUGAUGAAGAAGGACAGUAUGAAAAAAAAAGACAAAAUACAAAAAAUACAUAAUCUCUGUUGCUGAUUCCCCACCCUGGUCACUGUAAUGCUAUCUGAUCCUCUCACUGUUGUUUUGUUACCUGAUGUCUUUUUCCCUCCAUUCGGUAGGCUAUAUGAUGAAAAAGAGACAGUAUGGAAAGAAAAGUAAGAUAAAAGAAGACAUAUACUUAAUUUUUGUUACUUGACACAUCUGUACUUCAUCACAGUAUGCUUCUUUUCACCUCACAGCUAUUUCUGAGGAGUGUAUGUACUAGAUUGGUACUAAUUGGAAAAUCUAUUGUCUUAACCUUUUUCUUUUUUCAUAUGUACAUAUAAAUUUUGUGGCAAGCUUCAGUUACUAUGAUCUGUUGUACAUUGCAGUGAAAAGGUUGAUGCUAGACUCUUAUAUAGUUCCACUCAAUAACUAAUGCAAAUUAUGCUAUGUUAAUGUAUUUCUUUUUGCCUUCAGUGGUGGUGGAUUGUUUACCUUAAUUAACAGCUGAUUCAAUAAUUACUCUGCGUACAUAUACUACACCCACUAAUAUUCUUUAAUUUGAGCAUAUGUAUAGGAAACAUAAUAGGUAUAUACUAUUCAUCUAUGUAUGUCAUCUCUAGUAUUGCACUUUGCCAAUCAUUCAUGCUUCCCAUAUCACCUUCAGCAUUUUCAGUACACCUCCAUCAACACCAGACUCUCAUGUCAUCUGUGUAACUCCCACACCACCUCCACAACCACCACCACCACCACCUCAAAACUGUUGCUGACUCCCUGACUAGCUGCAUCUCUACUGCUCUUUUCCCCUCUCCUACCACCACCACCAUCAACACACAAGGGGAAACACUCAACAAACACUCACCACUCAUCACUCACUCAUCACUGAUUCACCUGACUCAUCACAUCAACAAGUGGCAACACUUCAGGGCAGGUUUGGUAACAGGAUACAGUACAGCCCUGUGCAGCACACCCUGGUACAGCCGCUACUGGCUGUCAGGAAUGCUCUCAGCUACUGAACAAGCCUGGCAUGUAACAAAGUCUGCAUUGUUAUAAGAAGCAAAAAAAUAACAUCUCUGCAGAGCCUCCCAGCCACAGCACACAGUGAAAUAGUCUUCACUAAAUAUGGCAGAAAGUCAGGAAAGAUACAGUGAGAGUUGUACAAAUAUAUAUUACUGAAUGACUGCCUUUAUUUAGUGACCUGAGUUUGCUAAAAAGACUUCACUAUAACAACCAUCAGAUAGAGCCAGUGUUUGGACAUAAGCUGGCCUUGCUCCAUGGUGCCUCACUACAGCAACAGCAAGGGUUUACUGCAGUGGUAGUGGUUGGUUGUGGCUGUGGUGGCUGCAGGGAAGUACCACAUCUCUUAAUCAGGCAACAGAGUCUAGCUAAGGCUGAAAAUUCACUGAUUACUAACACACAGAUUCCCAUUCAUACCAAAUCUAAAUAGUUUUUUCUCUUAUAGUAAAAAAGUAAUGACAUUAAAAUAUGUAGGUUUGUAUACACUGUACAUUAUACAACAGGGAACGAGUAAUACAUUCACGAGAACUCGUAUACAUGUAACUGUUAGUCCAGGAGUCAAAAUACAGUCUAGUCCUUCAAUACUGCGGGUUUUGGUUCAGACUCCCCAGACUGCACAGCGGACUCUUAGUUCACGCCACAGUGCCGUGCCAUCCAGCAGACAUGUGGCACCACUGACACUCUCACUCACUGGCCCUGCACUGCUUCAGGAAAACAAAGGAAGUAUUGCAGAAGAGCAAAGAAAUAAAGGUUACUCUCUCUCUCUAAAUGUAACACUCAUGAAGAGAGUUUUAUCUAUUGUCCUUUUUUUAACACAAGCAAGAUUCACAUUCACAUAUUAAAAGAAUAAUCUGAUGAGAUGUUAGUGGCAGAAAAAUGAAUAUGAAGUGCUAAUUAACACUUUAAUUUUGUUUUGUUUCAUAAACUUGCCACCAAGAGUUACUCCAGUGAAGCACCAUCUCAUUAUCAUUGUGAGUCACUUGGAAGAUGAAGUAUUGGAGAAUGAGAAGGAAGGACUAAAGGCAAAUUUCAAUCUAUGGACGUAUGAUUUACCUUUACAUUACAAUGCAGGUAAGAGUGAAGGGCACUGGCAGGAGGAGUGAAUGGUCUGUGGCAGGACUGAUUGGAAGACAUCAUUGGUGUCUUCCUGAAUGUGCUCCUUGUGUCACCACUUGCUUCAUUCUCACUAAACUCUUAUAACAGUGAAUAUUGAUUACACAGGUUAAAGUUAUCAUUAACAGACUAGCUAAGAACAUGUGGUAUACUAUGCAUUUAUACAAUAGAAAAAAAAGAGGAUGAGAGGACAAAAAACAUUUGCUACAUACAUUUUUCUUACCAGUUUCUGAACUACAUUGAGAAAAAGAGGAAGAAGAAACUGGGAAGACAUGAUAUUACUAAUACAUACUUUAAAAUACAAGAAAUAAAAUAAGAUAAAAACAACAAGGAAAAAAGAUAUAGUAUAGCUACUUACAUUCUGUCAAUAGCAAGAAAUAGAAAUAAGACAGAUGAGAGAAAGAUACCAUACCAAAACAAACAUCUCUCCAACUUUCCAACUGUUACAAUAAAGAUAGGAGGAAAAAAAGACAAUACUACACAUCCUUCAACAAUUAUAGAUGAAAAGGACAUAAAUAAUAGAGACAGAAGAGAGACAAUACUGCUACAGACACUUGAGGACCUUCGACAAUUUGAAAAAAAAAAAAAAGAUGAAUGACUAAAUAAUCAAUAACCACAAACAAAACAACAAUAAUAACAACAACAACAAAGACAUACACAUACA
Portunus trituberculatus (swimming crab) is the source of this 6842-nucleotide long non-coding RNA. RefSeq lists it as uncharacterized. The transcript has 2 exons. Lineage: Eukaryota; Metazoa; Arthropoda; Malacostraca; Decapoda; Portunidae. The record is from RefSeq and is a predicted model, not a curated record.